AUGAACGCUGGCGGCGUGGAUAAGGCAUGCAAGUCAAGGGGGCUUUCGUAGCAAUACGAGAGUCACCGGCGAACGAGUUAGUAAUACCUUGGUACGUACCCCAAAGUCUGGCAUAACCCCGCGAAAGCGGGACUAAUUCCAGAUGGUAUGGAAACAUUAAAGAAGUAAUUCGCUUUGGGAGCGGCCUAGGUCCUAUCAGCUUGUUGGUGAGGUAACGGCUCACCAAGGCUAUGACGGGUAGGGGGUGUGAGAGCACGACCCCCAACGACGAGACUGAGAACGGCUCGUACACCUACGGGUGGCAGCAGUCAAGAACAUUCGACAAUGGGCGAAAGCCUGAUCGAGCGACGCCGCGUGCAGGAAGAAGGCCUUCGGGUUGUAAACUGCUUUUGCGUGGGAAGAAUCCCGCUUAUGCGGGAGUGACGGUACCACGAGAAUAAGGGGUUGCUAACUCUGU
Molecule: ribosomal RNA, 457 nt
Filed under: uncultured bacterium
Lineage: Bacteria
Description: bacterial SSU rRNA
Rfam family: Bacterial small subunit ribosomal RNA
Source: RNAcentral